Molecule: long non-coding RNA, 377 nt
Organism: Ochotona curzoniae (black-lipped pika)
Lineage: Eukaryota; Metazoa; Chordata; Mammalia; Lagomorpha; Ochotonidae
Exons: 2
Source: RefSeq, a predicted model, not a curated record
GGACUAAGGCCAGUUCACUGGGAAGCCGGACCCCACCACUACACUUUCUGGGCCCUGCUGCUCCGGGUAUUGGAACUGACACUGGUUCACACACUGAUGGAGGUGGGGACAUCCCAGCACCUGCUGCCUGCAGCCGGGGACCCAGCAAGGCUGGAGUGACACGACAGCAGGAGCACCAGGGGCACUCGGGGAGCCAUGCCCCGGCCUCAGCAGCCAGGGGCACAUGGGGAGACAUUCUGGCGAUGGCACCCUCUCAUCCAUUGCCUGGCAGUGUAAAUGUCCCAAUUCCACUGAACUUCAGACUUAAAAAUCGCCCAAGUGGUCAACGUCGUGUCAUGUAACUUAUAGAACAAAAGAUAUAAUGAGGAAAUACUCUA